UACCUUAAGACAAAUAAUUUAAGGCAAGCCCUGCCCAGUGAGUAUACUCUUCAACGGCCGCGGUAUCCUAACCGUGCAAAGGUAGCAUAAUAACUUGCCUAUUAAUUAUAGGAUAGUAUGAAAGGGUAAACGAAAUAGGACCUGUCUCUCUUGGCCCAAUGAAAAUUAUUUUUUAACCGAAGAAAGUUAAAUCCAACUGAAGGACAAGAAGACCCUAUAGAGCUUCAUUUAAAUACUUACAAAAAAAACUUUAAAUUCAGUUGGGGCGACUAGUGCUCUACCAAUCAUCAAUGCCCAUAAGAUAAAUUUAUCUUAAAAAAGACCCUGACCCAGAUCAAGAAAACAAGCUACCUUAGGGAUAACAGGCUAAUCUCAUUUAUGAGUCCCUAUCUAUAAUGUUGGUUGGCACCUCGAUGUUGGCUUAGGGAAUCAAAGAGGCGCAGAAGCUUCUUAAGAUGGUUUGUUCAACCAUUAAACCCCUA
RNAcentral lists this ribosomal RNA (482 nucleotides) under Pontoscolex corethrurus complex sp. L4. RNAcentral's name for it is "partial small subunit ribosomal RNA". It matches the Rfam family "Bacterial large subunit ribosomal RNA", at positions 1829 to 2598 of the family's 2925-position model. Lineage: Eukaryota; Metazoa; Annelida; Clitellata; Crassiclitellata; Glossoscolecidae. The record is from RNAcentral.